ACAUAUACUUGUGUUACUGCGCGGCCUCGUACGUUCUCGCGCUGCUGCGCUCCGACGAGCGAGCAAGCCAAACCUUCCGGGUGCAGUGCUUAUAUCUGCGCUAUUGACGCUGUGUGUGCUCGCGACUGCCGUUACGCAAUGUCCAUUUAGAGACUGUGCUGUUAUCUCGAAAGAUUUCGUCUGUACUUGUAUAUUAAUCAAGUAUGCGGUCCAGUGCCGAAUUAUACCCCUUGUCGUUCCUUUCGUCGCACGUGUCAGAUAACACGCGCAGUCGUAAGGCCGUCAGACCUUUUGCAAGACCCCAAGUCAGCUUCUUCACUUUUUCCACAAAAAAGAGCGAGCCACCAAAAGAUUUGGAUUAAACAUACAAUUUUAGCUUUGCGGACAAAGAAAAUUCAAGACCCAGAAGUCCGCAACGGCGACAUCGAUAAGCUCCACGGUACGAACGUAUUUACCCAGUAGGUAGCUCUUGCGGUUGAUCAUCAAGCAACCUCGAUGCGCUCGAGACGAUCCCGACAAAGGAAAUAUGUUCAUGGUUAAGCGGACGAUUCUCCGCACUCGCGGAAACGACACCACUGCGACGUGCUAAACCGCCACAACCGAGAUCAACGAAGUAGCUAUGCGGAAUCCUUUUGGACUUAAUGAAAAUGCUUGUGUUUAGACUUUCAAAGUCAAUAAAAAAUUCAAAUUUCGCGCCACAAUAAAGGAGAUAACUCUAAAGUCCAUUUGCCUCUUGUAAAUAAAAAUCGAAUGGAACGAAAAAUAUCUUACCGAUACACUGACAGAAAUGCCCUUUAAAGCCAAAAGAAAAGAAUCUUGAAUAUGCUAUCAAAAGGAAAAAUCGUUUUGGAAUCACGAUAUUCCUAAUCAUUUAAAUGGAUUCUGUUUACUUUCACUAGAAUCAUUUUGAUCAAACUUUUUACAUAAAAUUUGGUAUUUUUUAUGGGAUAUAGAAAUCUUAAAGAAUAAAAAAUAAAUAUCCCAUAGGAUAUAGAAACUAAAAAGAAAAUCCUUUUGGCAGUAUGCAAAGAUAUUGCAAUAACGUAAAUUAUUAUAAACUUGAAACUAUGUGCAUAAUGAUGAUCGAUUACACAGUAAAACUAUAUGGCAUAGUAUAUUCCACUACGAUUUUUACGAUUUGUCAAAAUAAUUAUUUUUAUCAUUUAUUUAUAAUUAUAAUUAUCUUUAGGAUCGAAAUUUAAAAAUCAACUUUGAGACCUCGUGAUAAUUUUAAUGCUUGCCGUUUACUCGCUGGUGCGUCACAUUUUUAUUAUCCUACAUGUUUCUCUAAGCAAAAAAUAUUAAGUGAUUCUGUAAUAAAUUCUCAAAAAAACAAAUGUUUCACGAAAAUGCGUUAUAUUCAAAAAAGGUACAAUCUCUAGCGAUAUUAUUAAAAAGCGCUAUUUCGCGAAACAAAAUUAGCAUGUUUUUCAACGCAUAUCCAGCUGUCCAAGGAGGAAAAAAA
Long non-coding RNA from Nasonia vitripennis (jewel wasp), 1465 nucleotides. RefSeq lists it as uncharacterized. The record is from RefSeq and is a predicted model, not a curated record. Lineage: Eukaryota; Metazoa; Arthropoda; Insecta; Hymenoptera; Pteromalidae. The transcript is spliced from 2 exons.